This 1468-nucleotide long non-coding RNA is filed under the name Mus musculus (house mouse). Its description in RNAcentral is "alncRNA-EC35". Lineage: Eukaryota; Metazoa; Chordata; Mammalia; Rodentia; Muridae. The record is from RNAcentral.
UAUUCCUACCCGGAAAUCUUGAACUGAGUGUUGGGUUGGAGUGGCGGCUUGGGGCGCAGCGUCCCUGAACUUCCUAGAGUUUCUCAGAUUGUUAGAUAUUGAAGGUAGUGUUGAAAAAUCAUUGCAGUGAUCCUAGGGAUGGGAAGCUCGAGUCGUUCCACCUGUGUCUUCCGCACCGCAGGAGUUUUGCUGAAUUAAAAGGCACUACUUUAAUUAAAAAGCAGGAUAAACCUGGGUUUGGAGUUCGGAAGGCCUUAGGCUCAAGGGCUCCAGUUGAGGAAGCGUGAACAUUUUGACUGGAGUUGAUCUUAACCCAAUGGACUUUCCCUGUGCUGACCAACCCUUUCAUCACAAGCAAUAUAUUCGGUUGCUGAGCCCUGGAAAUGUAAGCAGUCUGAAGUGAGAGAUGCUGUAAAUGAACACUGUACACUGACAAGUACCCAACACUUCCCCAAAGAGAGUAAAAUACCUCAUUAAUAGUAAUAGUGCAUAUAUUCCAGUUAUUUGCUGGCCAAUUUUUUAUGUGUUCGGUUAAAGAAUAUUUACUGUCACUCACCUGUUUGGUUUUACUGUCUUUGAACUAGGGCAUCAGAAACGAUGGGGCUGCGUGCUUAACUCCCAUUGUUAUGGCUCCAGCUCAGCACUCCACAGACAGAAAGCCUGUGGUGAGGAGCAGUGGGUAUCUGCAAAGGCUUUCUCUUCUUAGACCGGGUUUCUCUGUGUAGCCCUGGCUGUCCCGGAACUCAAACUUUGUAGACCAGGCUGGCCUCAAACUCAGAAAUCCACCUACCUGUGCCUCCCAUGUGCUGGGAUGAAAGGCAUCUGACGCUGCCAUGUUGCCUGCAUCUACUUCUAAAUGAAUGAAAUUCGAGAGCUAAUGAAAUGAAUGGUUAAUAAAAGAGUGUUGAACCCCUUAAAAGGAAGUUCAUUAUGUCUUUGUUAAUGACGGAAGUGUACAAAAAGACUCAGGCCCUAAGUAUUUGCUUUGCUUGAUGAGAACUACAUGGUAUUCAUAAUCAUCUCUGACUUAGGUGCCCCUGCUGUGAAACAGCGCUAGGUACCAAAGCUGCCAAUUGCAUAUCUUUCCUUUCCUUUCCUUUCCUUUCCUUUCCUUUCCUUUUCUUUCUUUUUCUUUUUUUGACGGUAAGAGCACUGAACUUUCAUUUAGCGUGAAUCUAGAUGCAGUGAUAUUUCUUUUCUUUUUUUCUUUUUAUUUUAGGGAAGGACAAUCUCACUGUGUAGCUGUAGGCUUAUCUCCAAUGCAGCAGCCCCCCCCCCCCCCAGUCUAUAACAGUGGGAAUUGAGCUGUAUACCCCCAUGCCAAGCUUGUAUUUCUUAAUAAAAGUGAGAACUGAUCCAUCAAGGAGAGGUCAAGUUUGGUGAAGAAAAUAGGGCUUUGGAACAGCACAGUCAGACUGAAUUUUGUUCUAGCCUGAGCUGUGUAAACCUUCAUCUAGUUUCAUGUCUG